AACGGCCGUACCAUGCUGAAUAUACCGGUUCUCGUUAGAUCACCGAAGUCAAGCAUCAUUGGGCGCGGUCAGUACUUGGGUGGGUGACCACCUGGG
This is a non-coding RNA of Caerostris darwini, 96 nucleotides long. Lineage: Eukaryota; Metazoa; Arthropoda; Arachnida; Araneae; Araneidae. The record is from the annotation of a GenBank genome assembly.